AAAACAAAACAGUUCCCUGGAUUUGCUAUAAAGUGCAAAUAAAGUUUUGUUUUGAAUAUUAAUGCGUGAUCAUUGUACAAAAUUAAACUUUUUUGAAUUUGUAUUAGAAGGAGAAUGGUGUAGUUUCUCUAUUUAGUAGUAUGUGGGGGCUGAUUUCCAAAAUUAACGAAAUACUGAUGAAGGCUUUUUGUGUAUUACAUUCAUCUUUAACAACUUUCAAAGUAAUUGUUUAACAGGUCGAAAAACCAAACUCAUUUUAGUGAAACCUCGUAUAUUGGCUCCUUUGGCGAUGUGUAUUUAUCUGUGUUUUUUCAUGACUGAUAAAAGCGAAUUUGCUUCAUCACGAAUGAAAGAAAGAGAUAGAUAUAAUGAGUGUGAGAAAGAGAUGGAAACUGAAAAAUUUCCUGUAAAAGAAAAGUACUUGGGUGUGCAGGUCCGAUCUAACACGAGCAAUAGAAAUUAAUAUUACAAUUUACUGUUAUUAUUAAUUCGGCGCCAUGUUAAUGGGUAGUAUCGAGUGCUAUUAAUUAAUUGAAUUAUCGCGUUAGUUUUCGUAGACUAGUAAAGAAAACUUAUCCGAUAUCGUGUUGUGCAAUCAAUGUAAAUUUGAAGAGUGAUUGGAACGAAAGUUGUACUUAGGAUUAGGAUUACGAGUGGAGUGGAGUAUAAAUGGCACAUCCUCCAGUUUAGUUACCAAAUGAGAGCCACUACAUCACCGGACCAAUUCAAGGAAUGUCUUUACAGGAACACUUCAAUGAAUGGUACAUCUGCCAGUUGAGGCACCAAACAGGAACUACUUCAGCAAUCGGUCAAUUCGAGGAUCGUCUUAGAAAGACACUUCGAGGAAUGGUAGGCAUUUAUUAAUUCUUUUGUUAACAGGUCGUUUGUAUAUCUGUUUCUUAGUUUCUA
Agrilus planipennis (emerald ash borer) is the source of this 909-nucleotide long non-coding RNA. RefSeq lists it as uncharacterized. Lineage: Eukaryota; Metazoa; Arthropoda; Insecta; Coleoptera; Buprestidae. The record is from RefSeq and is a predicted model, not a curated record. The transcript is spliced from 4 exons.